Molecule: RNA transcript, 1241 nt
Organism: Ostrinia nubilalis (European corn borer)
Lineage: Eukaryota; Metazoa; Arthropoda; Insecta; Lepidoptera; Crambidae
Gene: TFAM
Gene name: transcription factor A, mitochondrial
Exons: 6
Source: RefSeq, a predicted model, not a curated record
UGUCAUUUUGACAUUCGUGUCUCACAAUUUUUCGUAUUGCUUGCUUGCUUGGUGAUGCUAUUUUUAAAUAAACGAAAGUAAAGAUUUAUCACUAGAAGUUCACAUAAUAAUGACUUCGUUUAGUCAGCUUUGUCGUCUCAAUAAUAUUAUAACAAAUAGUUAUAGAUCCAUUUUGUAUGGAAGGAAUACAUGGAUAAAUCAGCAGGUAUGCACCUACACCAGAAAAUCGGCGGAAGAACGCCUUGGAAUCGAAAAGCCAAAGCGUCCGUUGACCCCGUUUUUUAAAUUCAUGGCACAACUACGGCCAGCUCUACUGGCCAAAAAUCCAGGAAUUACUUCCAAAGAGGCCAUAGCGUGGAGCUCAAAACACUGGCAGGAGCUUGAUUCAGAGACCAAGUCACAAAUGGUUAAAGAAUAUGAAAAAGACUUUGAAGACUACAAAAAAAUAAAAGAAAUGUAUGAAAAAUCACUAACAGACCAACAGAAAGAAGACAUUAAGAAACUUAAAGAAGAAUUGGCUGCUGCCAAAGAAAAGAGGAAAUUAAAGGCUGAAUACAAAGAACUAGGUCGCCCUAAGAAGCCAAUGUCUUCCUAUUUCCUAUUUGUUCAAUCAAAGAAAGAUCAAUUCACUGGAAAACACAUGAAAGAAUUUCAGGAAAAGGUGAAAGAGGAUUGGUUAAAAUUACCAGGAACUGAAAGAGUUAAAUUUGAAAAGCAGGCCCUAGAUCUCAUGAAUAAGUACAAGAAAGACAUGGAAGCCUGGGAGUUAAGAAUGUUAGGCAUAGGACGUUCUGACCUGGUACGAGCAAGGCCUGUGCGUGAGAAGAAGGCAAAGAGCGAAAAGAGCAAAGAAUAGGAACUCGGGUGCUCUGAUGAUUUAACUGACUCAAACAAUAUCUCUGAUCUUAACAGUAAGAACAAUGUUGAUCUACAAACUAGUUUUAGUUUUAAAUCGGGCGUUAAUUUUAAUAGUCAGCAACAGCCAGAAAAUCAGAAAAAAGUUAGCAUAGAGCAAAAAAAGCUAAAGUCAGAAAAGCAUCAGAGCACGGGUGACCUAAAAGAAGCUCAAUCAGAUAAAGUUGAGCCUGAAAACCAGUCCACUAACAAAGAGAAGACUUUUAUUUGAUGCUGUGUGGAUGGCAGAAGGGGAUCAAUGAUAAACAACAACUCUGUUUUAAAGACCCUUUUUUAUUUCAAUUGUUACAAAAUAUAAUUACAAUAAACCUUUUAUUUACAAUUGA